RNAcentral lists this unclassified non-coding RNA (200 nucleotides) under rhizosphere metagenome. RNAcentral describes it as "partial ribosomal RNA internal transcribed spacer region". The record is from RNAcentral.
GAGUGAGGGCCCCUCGGGGUCCAACCUCCCACCCGUGUUUAACGAACCUUGUUGCUUCGGCGAGCCCGCCUCACGGCCGCCGGGGGGCAUCUGCCCCCGGGCCCGCGCCCGCCGAAGCCACCUGUGAACUCGUCUGAAGUAUGUAGUCUGAGACAAUUAUUAAAUUAAUUAAAACUUUCAACAACGGAUCUCUUGGUUCC